AGGACGAACGCUGGCGGCGUGCUUAACACAUGCAAGUCGAGCGGAAAGGCCCUUCGGGGUACUCGAGCGGCGAACGGGUGAGUAACACGUGAGUAAUCUGCCCCUAGCUCUGGGAUAGCUCCGGGAAACCGGGAUUAAUACCAGAUACGACCACUUUAGACAUCUGUCGUGGUGGAAAGGAUUCCGGCUAGGGAUGGGCUCGCGGCCUAUCAGCUUGUUGGUGGGUAACGCCUACCAAGGCGACGACGGGUA
RNAcentral lists this ribosomal RNA (252 nucleotides) under uncultured bacterium. Its description in RNAcentral is "partial small subunit ribosomal RNA". It matches the Rfam family "Bacterial small subunit ribosomal RNA", at positions 26 to 285 of the family's 1533-position model. The record is from RNAcentral.